Molecule: ribosomal RNA, 433 nt
Filed under: uncultured bacterium
Lineage: Bacteria
Description: partial 16S ribosomal RNA
Rfam family: Bacterial small subunit ribosomal RNA
Source: RNAcentral
AACGAACGCUGGCGGCAGGCCUAACACAUGCCAGUCGAGCGAGGACUUCGGUCCUAGCGGCGGACGGGGGAUGAACGCGGGGUAACUUGCCCGUGGCUUCGCAAUAGCUGUGGGAAACUUGGAUUAAUACCGGAGGAGCCCAUUGGGGGUAAGAUUUAUCGGUGAAUGCUCGGCGCGCGUUGGAUUAGGUAGUUGGUGGGGUAAUGGCCUACCAACCAGACGAUGCAUAGCUGGUGUGAGAGGAUGCUACGCCACGCUGGCGAUGAGACACGGCCCAGACUGCUACGGGAGGGAGCGGUGUGGAAUCUUAGGGAAUGGAGGCAACUGUAAUAUAGCCAUGCCGCGUAAGAGAUGCAGGCCUUAGGGUUGUAAAGCUCUUUGAGAUGGGAAGAUAAUGACGGUACCAGCAGAAGAAGCACCGGCUAACUCCGUG